GGGAGCUUGCUCCCUGAUGUUAGCGGCGGACGGGUGAGUAACACGUGGGUAACCUGCCUGUAAGACUGGGAUAACUCCGGGAAACCGGGGCUAAUACCGGAUGGUUGUUUGAACCGCAUGGUUCAAACAUAAAAGGUGGCUUCGGCUACCACUUACAGAUGGACCCGCGGCGCAUUAGCUAGUUGGUGAGGUAACGGCUCACCAAGGCAACGAUGCGUAGCCGACCUGAGAGGGUGAUCGGCCACACUGGGACUGAGACACGGCCCAGACUCCUACGGGAGGCAGCAGUAGGGAAUCUUCCGCAAUGGACGAAAGUCUGACGGAGCAACGCCGCGUGAGUGAUGAAGGUUUUCGGAUCGUAAAGCUCUGUUGUUAGGGAAGAACAAGUACCGUUCGAAUAGGGCGGUACCUUGACGGUACCUAACCAGAAAGCCACGGCUAACUACGUGCCAGCAGCCGCGGUAAUACGUAGGUGGCAAGCGUUGUCCGGAAUUAUUGGGCGUAAAGGGCUCGCAGGCGGUUUCUUAAGUCUGAUGUGAAAGCCCCCGGCUCAACCGGGGAGGGUCAUUGGAAACUGGGGAACUUGAGUGCAGAAGAGGAGAGUGGAAUUCCACGUGUAGCGGUGAAAUGCGUAGAGAUGUGGAGGAACACCAGUGGCGAAGGCGACUCUCUGGUCUGUAACUGACGCUGAGGAGCGAAAGCGUGGGGAGCGAACAGGAUUAGAUACCCUGGUAGUCCACGCCGUAAACGAUGAGUGCUAAGUGUUAGGGGGUUUCCGCCCCUUAGUGCUGCAGCUAACGCAUUAAGCACUCCGCCUGGGGAGUACGGUCGCAAGACUGAAACUCAAAGGAAUUGAC
RNAcentral lists this ribosomal RNA (857 nucleotides) under Bacillus sp. EC-HK373. Its description in RNAcentral is "bacterial SSU rRNA". It matches the Rfam family "Bacterial small subunit ribosomal RNA", at positions 74 to 914 of the family's 1533-position model. Lineage: Bacteria; Bacillati; Bacillota; Bacilli; Caryophanales; Bacillaceae. The record is from RNAcentral.